This 460-nucleotide ribosomal RNA is filed under the name uncultured bacterium. Its description in RNAcentral is "partial 16S ribosomal RNA". It matches the Rfam family "Bacterial small subunit ribosomal RNA", at positions 338 to 795 of the family's 1533-position model. The record is from RNAcentral.
CCUACGGGGGGCAGCAGUGAGGAAUAUUGGUCAAUGGACGAGAGUCUGAACCAGCCAAGUAGCGUGAAGGAUGACUGCCCUAUGGGUUGUAAACUUCUUUUAUAAAGGAAUAAAACGAGGCACGUGUGCCUUUUUGCAUGUACUUUAUGAAUAAGGAUCGGCUAACUCCGUGCCAGCAGCCGCGGUAAUACGGAGGAUCCGAGCGUUAUCCGGAUUUAUUGGGUUUAAAGGGAGCGUAGAUGGGUUGUUAAGUCAGGUGUGAAAGUUUGCGGCUCAACCGUAAAAUUGCAGUUGAUACUGGGAGUCUUGAGUACAGGUGAGGUAGGCGGAAUUCGUGGUGUAGCGGUGAAAUGCUUAGAUAUCACGAAGAACCCCGAUUGCGAAGGCAGCUUACUAAACUGUGACUGACAUUGAUGCUCGAAAGUGUGGGUAUCAAACAGGAUUAGAUACCCUGGUAGUC